Molecule: long non-coding RNA, 1031 nt
Organism: Vespula vulgaris
Lineage: Eukaryota; Metazoa; Arthropoda; Insecta; Hymenoptera; Vespidae
Exons: 2
Source: RefSeq, a predicted model, not a curated record
UUCUGUCUCGGUGUCGCGUGCGCUAAUGGCCGGAUUGCAUAACACCUCUUCUACGAACAAGUCACUUGUGAAUCGAGUGGCAAAGGCAAUCAAAUCGUCUUGAUUCCUCUUGAGCGAAGUGGAGCGAGGACCGAUAGACAUUUUUCCUUCGAUCUUCCUACGUUUUAUUGAACGCUCGAGAUUGGAAUAAUAAUUACGUAUAUUUCUACAUAAACACGUUUAUUUUACAUUCAUAUAUAAAAAUUUAUAUUAUACGUCCGUGAAACACUUAUUUCUUAAGUCCAUCGAUAUUUGUCGUAUAUACGUUCGAAGUUAACUGAAAUUAUUACGCUUCCAUCGCUUCCAUUAUACUUAUCUUCAUUUUCGGUAUGAGAUUUAUUACAUAAGCUCGUAAAUUAUAGAACUCUUUCCAACGUAUCAUCUCUAUUAUUAUACCAAGUAAAAAGUGGGUCAGAAAGACGCACCGUCUGCAGUCGAUAGUCUCAGUACAUUUCUCGGAAGCUGAAUAAGGGGAAACAACUUGGCAGAGGCCAUCAAGUGGGUCAGCCAUCAUGUCUCACUCAAUUUCGUGACACCGAUAGGACCACUUCUCUCAGCGUAUAUCUACGUACGAACAUAUCGAUGUGUAAGUCUCCUCGAAAGACGAAAGUUUUCAUUGGAAAGCUGCACGUACCGUGAAAGAAGGUAACGUCAUCGUGGCCUCUUCCUUCUCUCUCUCUCUACACACUUUUCGAAUGGCUCUCUUUUAUCGUGUGGCAACGUAAUAAUUUCAAGCAUUGAUCUUACGUAACGUUACGUUCCCCGAUAGAAAAUAUAAAAUUUUGUCAUCUUGUCAACAUAUUCAUAUAAGUUUUGUAAUAUUUCAAUAUUCAUCGAACCACUUAAAAUAAAACGAAAGGAGAUACAGGAAUAUAGUAGGAAGGAAAUAAUGAGAGAAAAUGAAUAAUUUUCUGUCACAAUUAUAUUAUUUUAUAUAAAAAAAAAAAUACAUACAUUGCUAUCUCGGUAUAAAAGUAAGAUAAGGGAGAGAA